Molecule: ribosomal RNA, 407 nt
Filed under: uncultured bacterium
Lineage: Bacteria
Description: partial 16S ribosomal RNA
Rfam family: Bacterial small subunit ribosomal RNA
Source: RNAcentral
AUUGAACGCUGGCGGCAGGCCUAACACAUGCAAGUCGAGCGGAGCGGCGGACGGGUGAGUAAGGCAUAGGAAUCUGACUGGGAGUGGUGGAUAACGUCAGGAAACGGGAGCUAAUACCACAUACUAUCAGAUGAGCCUAGGUCGGGGUAGGUAGUUGGUGUGGUAAAGGCCUACCAAGGCGACGAUCCGUAACUUGUCUGAGAGGAUGAUCAUGCACAUCGGAACUGAGACACGGUCCAGACUCCUACGGGAGGCAGCAGUGGGGAAGAUUGGACAAUGGGCGAAAGCCUUCUCCCGCCAUGCCGCGUGUGUGAAGAAGGUCUUCGGAUUGUAAAGUACUUUAAGUUGGGAGGCGUUACCAACAGAAUAAGCACCGGCUAACUUCGUGCCAGCCGCCGCGGUAAUUC